AAAAACUAAAACUCUCUUCUUUAGAUGUGAUUUUUUAAUAUCAGUAGUGUUUUUUUCCAGAUCCCCCCCUUUUCUUUGAAAUUUUAUAGGGUAUAUUUAUAGAGUUUUUUAUGUGUUCAGUUGCUUUCUUUGUCUGCCUUGGUCCUUCUCUAUCUAUUUCCUGUUUGAUGUUUUUUUCCUUUGCUCAUCAUCUGCGUUUUUUCUACACCUCUGAUGCAUUCAUGAUUUUGAUUUACUUGCUUUGAUAUGUUCUGUUGCUGAGCUUUAAUUUGUCCCUUAGUUUAUUUUUUUAAACUCAAAAUUUUGUCUCUUUGUUCUGCACAAAGUAUACCAAGACUGACUUAAAAAAAAAUGUUUUUAUGUUUCUCUAAUUAGUUACAAAGCAAAGGUCAAUGACAACUACAUUUGAAACAGAAAGGCAGCAACAAAAUAGAGCCAAACACUGCAUCAGAAACAGAGAGGCAGAGAGGCAACAACAGCAACAAAUUAAAAAUUAUUGUAAUUUAAUUUAGUUUGGUUUAAAUCUUAUUUUAAUUUUGCCUUUAUUUUAGUUUGUAAUUUGAUUUGGUUUUAAAACUCUAAUUAGAUAAAAAUGUAAAUUUAUGAUACAUAAUAAAAUUAUUUAUUGUAAUUAUUUUUAUUUCCUUCCUUAUAUUUGUUUUCAAAAUGGACAAAAUUAGGGUACUACACUUAGUAAGAGUGAGAAAAAUAAAAAGUGUUGGACAAAGGGAGAGAGGUAAUAUGUUUAGAUUUUAUUUUGGUUUCUUAAGAUAUUUUUCGUAUCAAUUUAUCUCUUAAUUUUUUUUUUCAUUUAAUUUUCGUCUAUUAAAUUAUAGAUAUUUUGAUUUUGUAAGUCAAAAAGAG
This 864-nucleotide long non-coding RNA is filed under the name Cicer arietinum (chickpea). RNAcentral describes it as "long non-coding RNA (CARI_LNC000514)". Lineage: Eukaryota; Viridiplantae; Streptophyta; Magnoliopsida; Fabales; Fabaceae. The record is from RNAcentral.